UAGAAUAGAGCAGAGCAGAGCAGAGUAGAAUAAAUUAGAAUAGAAUAGAAUAGAAUUGGAAGGGACCUUGGAGGUCUUCUAGUCCCACCCCCUGCUCAGGCAGGAAACCCUACCAUUUCAAACAAAUUCCAGGAAGGGAUGGGGGAGGGGUGUUUCCGGGAACGAGCCAGCGAGGAGCAGCGGAGACCCCGCCGGACUUUCCACUUUCAAGCCGCCGGAGCAGGAAUCACCCGGCCUCUACGGGCGCCCCUCCCUGCCCGCCGCCGUUUAUGGGCACGACCCCCGCCUAGGACCCGGAGCUGGAGAAGCCUCGGAAGAGCCGCUCUGCCCUCCCCAGAGUUUGGCCGCAGCUUUUGGCCCUUCCACGCGGUGGGGGAGCUCCGCGUUUCGUCCCCCGCCCCCCUCCGCCGCGCGCGCGGAAAAAAGUCGCAACUGGUCAACUGGCAUCCCUGGAGAAGCUGCUGGGGAACAGAUUUCUGACAGUUUGUAAGACAAACAAACAACAGUAAUUGGAUGUAAAAGCUCUCAUCCUUAAAGAGAACGAGACUGAGUUAAAUUUAUGGCAAGAAAAUACUUUCCUUUAACUAAGGAGGAGAAAAAGAGAAGUGAUAUGCAGCCACAGGAAGUCCUACAACCACAGUGGAGCCCCAAUAUUAUUGCUGAAAUCUGAUGCUUCAUGUCUAUAAAGCAUUCAUGUAGUGGAACCUCUGUCGUUUUUAAACUUUUCUAAAAAAGAGAAAAAGAGAGAGAGACCCCAAGGAUAUUAUCAUCUCCCUUCCUUGCAAACUAUCAAACUAUCAGCAAGGGACCCUGUGCUUCCACCGGUGGGGGGGGGGGGAAGGAGGGAACACCUUCAGUCCCAAGGCAGAGACCCCUCGAUCUCUUUGGCUAGCUGCUGGCUGGGGCAUUCUGGGAGUUGAAGUCCACAAGUCUUAAAAGUUGCCAAGUUUGGAGGCUGCUGUAUUUGGUGAAUGAACAGAAGUUAUC
Molecule: long non-coding RNA, 987 nt
Organism: Crotalus tigris (Tiger rattlesnake)
Lineage: Eukaryota; Metazoa; Chordata; Lepidosauria; Squamata; Viperidae
Exons: 4
Source: RefSeq, a predicted model, not a curated record